This 807-nucleotide ribosomal RNA is filed under the name Salmonella enterica subsp. enterica serovar Mikawasima. RNAcentral describes it as "partial 23S ribosomal RNA". It matches the Rfam family "Bacterial large subunit ribosomal RNA", at positions 582 to 1307 of the family's 2925-position model. The record is from RNAcentral. Lineage: Bacteria; Pseudomonadati; Pseudomonadota; Gammaproteobacteria; Enterobacterales; Enterobacteriaceae.
CCCUUUGGGGUGUGACUGCGUACCUUUUGUAUAAUGGGUCAGCGACUUAUAUUCUGUAGCAAGGUUAACCGAAUAGGGGAGCCGGAGGGAAACCGAGUCUUAACCGGGCGUUAAGUUGCAGGGUAUAGACCCGAAACCCGGUGAUCUAGCCAUGGGCAGGUUGAAGGUUGGGUAACACUAACUGGAGGACCGAACCGACUAAUGUUGAAAAAUUAGCGGAUGACCUGUGGCUGGGGGUGAAAGGCCAAUCAAACCGGGAGAUAGCUGGUUCUCCCCGAAAGCUAUUUAGGUAGCGCCUCGUGAAUUCAUCUCCGGGGGUAGAGCACUGUUUCGGCUAGGGGGCCAUCCCGGCUUACCAACCCGAUGCAAACUGCGAAUACCGGAGAAUGUUAUCACGGGAGACACACGGCGGGUGCUAACGUCCGUCGUGAAGAGGGAAACAACCCAGACCGCCAGCUAAGGUCCCAAAGUCAUGGUUAAGUGGGAAACGAUGUGGGAAGGCCCAGACAGCCAGGAUGUUGGCUUAGAAGCAGCCAUCAUUUAAAGAAAGCGUAAUAGCUCACUGGUCGAGUCGGCCUGCGCGGAAGAUGUAACGGGGCUAAACCAUGCACCGAAGCUGCGGCAGCGAACGUAUCACUUAAAGCGAUUCAGCGGGUUACGAUUGACGGAGCGAAGCGACGUCAAAGCGUAUACAAAGUCGAGUCGGUUUAAGGAUACGUUCGUUGGGUAGGGGAGCGUUCUGUAAGCCUGUGAAGGUGGCCUGUGAGGGUUGCUGGAGGUAUCAGAAGUGCGAAUGCUGACAUAAGU